RNAcentral lists this ribosomal RNA (391 nucleotides) under Pisidium orientale. RNAcentral's name for it is "partial 16S rRNA". It matches the Rfam family "Bacterial large subunit ribosomal RNA", at positions 1916 to 2558 of the family's 2925-position model. Lineage: Eukaryota; Metazoa; Mollusca; Bivalvia; Venerida; Sphaeriidae. The record is from RNAcentral.
AAUUUUUUUUAACGGCUGCAAUUAAUAAUUGUGCUAAGGUAGCGUAGUCAUUUGCCCCUUAAUUAGGGGAAGGUAUGAAUGGUUUGACGUGNGAAAGACUGUCUCUUUUGUAUUGAAAGAAGUUUAUUUUUGAGUGAAAAAGCUUAGAUGGUUGUAAAAGACGAGAAGACCCUAUCGAACUUGAAUUGUUUGUUUGAAUUUUUAAAUAAGUAAAGUUUAGUUGGGGAAACUUAAAGUAAAAAGUAACGCUUUAUUUUUUUGUUGUGAUCCUGUAAUAUGGAAAGGUGAAAAAGUUACCGUAGGGAUAACAGCGCUUUCUUCUCUGAGAGGACUAAUUAAAGAGUUGGUUGCGACCUCGAUGUUGGAUUAAAAUUUCUUUUUGGGGUAGGGG